RNAcentral lists this long non-coding RNA (174 nucleotides) under Parus major (Great Tit). Its description in RNAcentral is "lncRNA (ENSPMJG00000001273.1)". The record is from RNAcentral. Lineage: Eukaryota; Metazoa; Chordata; Aves; Passeriformes; Paridae.
AUGAGAAGACAUCAGCAAGUGGAGAGAAAUGUACAGGCAAUCAAAAGAGAGUAUAGAAGAAUUUUGUUGGAAACUGAUGGUAGAGCAGAUAUGGAACAGGAUCACCAGGAGGGGAUGAUUUUAAGGCAGAACCAGGAAGGGAAUUACAAGCUCUAUCAAUUGCCAUGCUCGUAG